This 31-nucleotide non-coding RNA is filed under the name Rattus norvegicus (Norway rat). The record is from RNAcentral. Lineage: Eukaryota; Metazoa; Chordata; Mammalia; Rodentia; Muridae.
UCCUUCUGUUUAUUCGUGUGCUGCUGCAAGU